Oncorhynchus keta (chum salmon) is the source of this 2961-nucleotide long non-coding RNA. RefSeq lists it as uncharacterized. The record is from RefSeq and is a predicted model, not a curated record. The transcript is spliced from 4 exons. NCBI's taxonomy places the organism in Eukaryota, Metazoa, Chordata, Actinopteri, Salmoniformes, Salmonidae.
UUCGUCCUUCCCACACACACACAUAGUGCCUGCAGACGUUGCAAGGUGAGUCUUCGUCCUUCCCACACACACACAUAGUGCCUGCAGACGUUGCAAGGUGAGUCUUCGUCCUUCCCACACACACACAUAGUGCCUGCAGACGUUGCAAGGUGAGUCUUCGUCCUUCCCACACACACACGUAGUGCCUGCAGACGUUGCAAGGUGAGUCUUCGUCCUUCCCACACACACACACGUAGUGCCUGCAGACGUUGCAAGGUGAGUCUUCGUCCUUCCCACACACACACGUAGUGCCUGCAGACGUUGCAAGGCGUGUCUGUCGCCGAGUCGUCAACGCCCUCGUUGGAACAGGGUUGUUUUCAUUAAAGGAACAACGAAGUAAAACGCUUUGCAAUGGAAAACGAAAACGGGUGUUUGUCAAGUUCAGGUAGUCCCUCCCUGUUUCAGCCCGUUUUCUUCUGUUUGGUGGUUUGUAAAUACAACCAUGUUUGAUUGAUUGGUUGAUUUGAUAUGACUUAUAUAGUGCGUUCUUGACUCUCAAAAUGCUUUACAUAGUAUGGGGGGGGGGACUCCCUUCAAACUCCACCAUCUACCACAGACAACUCUACAACCUCCUCCUUUUAUCUGUAAGUGGGGAAAAUGUCUGGAAUUGGCCAAUGUUGGACCCGAGCAAAAGGCUGUUGCUCCGAGAUAUUCACUCAAUGAUGUGCUUGGCUGUGCAUGGCCAAACAGAGCCAACACAUUGUGGGCCAGCCACUCUCCAGAUAGGGAUCAUUUCCCUGGCUCAGGAUGUUAGUGUAACAGUUCUCUCAACCAUUAGCACUAAGUACCUUUACCUUGAAUGGGGAGAAAUGGAGAAACCCUUACUGUGCAGCUGCACUGUUUUCUGCCAGUGCUAAUUUCCCCCCCAAAUGGCCUUAUUAGUGAACUACAAACCCAACGAUUCCCAUUGAACUACAACUCACACAUAUCCCCUCCCUUUGGAACAAAGGGAAUAGAUAUCGCCCUGUUUUAGAAUGAGCAAGAAGAGGGGAGGAUGUGAGAGGAGGGGUGAAAGAAGGGGUGAUGGCCCUGCAUGAGGAUGAGAGAGAGAAGGCAAGAAGAGCCUUCUAUGCUAUCAAAAGGAACAUAAAAUUCGACAUACCAAUUAGGAUCUAGCUAAAAAAAGUACUUGAAUCAGUAAUGGAACCCAUUUCCUUUUAUGGUUGUGGGGUCUGAGGUCCACUCACUAACCAAGAAUUCACAAAAUGGGACAAACACCAAAUUGAGACUGCAUGCAGAAUUCUACAAAAAUAUCCUCUGUGUACAACGAAAAACACCAAAUAAUGCAUGUAGAGCAGAAUUAGGCCAAUAACCGCUAAUUAUCAAAAUCCAGAAAAGAGACAUUAAAUUCUACAACCACCUAAAAGGAAACGAUUCCCAAACCUUUCAUAACAAAGCCUUCCCCGACAGAGAAAUACAUCUAGAGAAGAGCCCCUUAAGCAAGCUGGUCCUGGGGCUCUGCUCACAAACACAAACAGAUCCCCAGGACAGCAACAUAAUUAGACCCAACCAAAUCAUGAGAAAACAAAAAGAUAAUUACUUGACACGUUGGAAAGACUUUACAAAAAAACUGCGGACUAGAAUGGUAUUUGGCCCUAAACAGAGAGUACACAAUGGCAGAAUACCUGAACACUGACUGACCCAAAAUUAAGGAAAUAUUUGAUUUUGUACAGACUCAGUGAGCAUAGCCUUGCUAUUGAGAGAGGCCACAAAAUGAGGUGGAAACUGAGCUGUACUUCCUAACCUCCUGCCAAAUGUAUGACCAUAUUAGAGAGACAUAUUUCCCUCUGAUUACACAGACUCACAAAGAAUUUGAGAACAAACCCAAUUUUGAUAAACUCCCAUAUCUACUGGGUGAAAUACUACAGUGUGCCAUCACAGCAGCAAUAUUUGUAACGUGUUGCUGCAAGAAAAGGCCAACCAGUGAAGAACGAAUACAACAUAUAUUUAUUUUCCCUUUUGUACUUGAACUAUUUGCACAUUUUUACAACACUGUAUAUAGACAUAAUGACAUUUGAAAUGUCUUUAUUCUUUUGGAACUUUUGUGAGUUAAUUUUUUGUUAUCUAUUUCACUUGCUUUGGCAAUGUAACAUGUGUUUCCCAUGCCAAUAAAGCCCCUUACAUUGAAAUGUAAUUUAAUUGAAAGGAGGAUGAGGGAUGAACAAAAGUGGAUGGGGUCCUGUCUUGUCGGGGAGCCUGGCCCAGGUCCUGUCUUGUCGGGGAGCCUGGCCCAGGUCCUGUCUUGUCGGGGAGCCUGGCCCAGGUCCUGUCUUGUCGGGGAGCCUGGCCCAGGUCCUGUCUUGUCGGGGAGCCUGGCCCAGGUCCUGUCUUGUCGGGGAGCCUGGCCCAGGUCCUGUCUUGUCGGGGAGCCUGGCCCAGGUCCUGUCUUGUCGGGGAGCCUGGCCCAGGUCCUGUCUUGUCGGGGAGCCUGGCCCAGGUCCUGUCUUGUCGGGGAGCCUGGCCCAGGUCCUGUCUUGUCGGGGAGCCUGGCCCAGGUCCUGUCUUGUCGGGGAGCCUGGCCCAGGUCCUGUCUUGUCGGGGAGCCUGGCCCAGGUCCUGUCUUGUCGGGGAGCCUGGCCCAGGUCCUGUCUUGUCGGGGAGCCUGGCCCAGGUCCUGUCUUGUCGGGGAGCCUGGCCCAGGGUCCUGUCUUGUCGGGGAGCCUGGCCCAGGGUCCUGUCUUGUCGGGGAGCCUGGCCCAGGGUCCUGUCUUGUCGGGGAGCCUGGCCCAGGGUCCUGUCUUGUCGGGGAGCCUGGCCCAGGGUCCUGUCUUGUCGGGGAGCCUGGCCCAGGGUCCUGUCUUGUCGGGGAGCCUGGCCCAGGGUCCUGUCUUGUCGGGGAGCCUGGCCCAGGGUCCUGUCUUGUCGGGGAGCCUGGCCCAGGGUCCUGUCUUGUCGGGGAGCCUGGCCCAGGGUCUUGUCUUG